GAUGAAGAACGCAGCGAAAUGCGAUACGUAAUGUGAAUUGCAGAAUUCAGUGAAUCAUCGAGUCUUUGAACGCACAUUGCGCCCCUUGGUAUUCCGAGGGGCAUGCCUGCUCGAGCGUCAUUAUAACCCCUCAAGCUCAGCUUGGUGUUGGGGCCUGCUGCACUGGCAGCCCUUAAAAUCAGUGGCGGCGCCAUCUGGCUCUAAGCGUAGUAAUUCUUCUCGCUAUGGAGUCCUGGUGGAUGCUUGCCAUCAACCCCCAAUUUUUCUAUGGUUGACCUCGGAUCAGGUAGGGAUACCCGCUGAACUUAAGCAUAUCAAUAAGCGGAGGA
Molecule: unclassified non-coding RNA, 329 nt
Filed under: soil metagenome
Description: partial contains 5.8S ribosomal RNA, internal transcribed spacer 2, and large subunit ribosomal RNA
Rfam family: 5.8S ribosomal RNA (bases 1-120)
Source: RNAcentral